This 2805-nucleotide long non-coding RNA is filed under the name Hordeum vulgare. RNAcentral's name for it is "long non-coding RNA (HVUL_LNC005396)". The record is from RNAcentral. Lineage: Eukaryota; Viridiplantae; Streptophyta; Magnoliopsida; Poales; Poaceae.
GGGGAUCUGGUAAAGAGAUGCUCCGAUGAUGUCAUCUUCAUCUAAAAACAAUGACCAACCACGCCAAACCAGGUUCGAAUGGAUAGGGAUGUUGCUGGAUAACCUCAAAUCCCGUACAAAAGUGAUUCCUCGUCGCAGGAGAACAAAACAUGGGGCAACACUGGACUUUGAAGGCUUUGAGAUUGUAAUUUGCACAAUAAAGCAAGCACCGGUACCAUACAAUCGUGUCUACCACCCUCAGUUUCCGUGUGCACACACAUUCACCACCCAAUAUAUGUGCCUCGCAAGGCUUGGUGUUGCACCAUCUCCAUUUGAAAAUGUACAAUAUAUGUCCUCCCUUGGAGAGUGUUGUCCCUCAGCAUAAGAUUAUGGUUGCUGACUUCCGCUUUAGGAUUCGGGUCCAGCGGAACAAGCAUGCCAAAGUAACUAGAACGAAGUGGUGGAAGCUCAAAGGAGAGGUAGCUCAGACAUUCAAGGAGAGGGUCAUUAAGGAGGGCCCUUGGGAGAAUGGAGGUGAUGCAGACAACAUGUGGAUGAAGAUGGCGACUUGCAUUCGUAAGGUGGCGUCAGAGGAGUUUGGAGUGUCCAGGGGGAGUAGAAGAGAAAUUAAAGAUAUGUGGUGGUGGAACAAUGAUGUCCAAAAGACAAUUAAGGAGGAGAAGAUUAUUUCAGACGCCUAUAUCUGGAUAGGAGUGUAGAUAACAUAAAGAAGUACAAGAUGGCAAAGAAGGCUGCAAAACAAGCUAUGAGUGAAGCAAAGGGGUCGGGCGUAUGAGGACCAUACUAUCGUGAAGAACGAGUAAGAAGAGGAGCCCCCCGAGGAAGAAGGGGAUGGAGCAGAUCAACUCCUCGUGAAGAACGAGGAGAUUGAGCAUAGAUGGCAGCAGUACUUUGACAAGAUGUUCAACGGGGAGAGUGAGAGCUCUACCAUUGAACUGGAUGACUCAUUUGAUGAUACUAGCAUCGUUCUGUGCAGCGAAUCCAGGAGUCGGUAAAGGAGGCUUUAAAGAUGAUGAAAGGAGGCAAGGCGAUGGGCCCCGAUUGUAUCCCCAUUGAGGUGUGGAGAUGCCUUGGGGACAUAGCGAUAGUAUGGUCGACCAAACUUUUCAACCUCAUUUUUCGGGCAAACAAGAUGCUAGAAGAAUGGAGACGGAGUAUAUUAGUACCAAUAUUCAAGAACAAGGGGGGUGUUCAGAGUUGUAGUAAUUACCGUGAAAUUAAACUGAUGAGCCAUACAAUGAAGCUAUGGAAGAGAGUCAUUGAGCACUACUUAAGAAGAGUGACAAGUGUGACCAAAAAUCAGUUUGGUUUUAUGCCUGGGAGGUCGACCAUGGAAGCCAUUUUCUUGGUACGACAACUUAUGAAGAGAUAUGGGGAGCAAAAGAAAGACGUGCAUAUGAUGUUCAUUGACUUGGAGAGGACCUAUGAUAAGAUAUCGCAGAAUGUUAUGUGGCGGGCCUUGGAGAAACACAAAGUCCCAACAAAGUACAUUACCCUCAUCAAGGACAUGUACUAUAAUAUUAUGACAAGUGUUCGAACAAGUGAUAUCGACACUGAUGACUUCCCGAUUAAGAUAUGACUGCAUCAGGGGUUAGCUUUGAGCCCUUAUCUUUUUGCCUUGGUGAUGGAUGAGGUCAUAAGGGAUAUACAAGGAGAUAUCCCAUGGUGUAUGCUCUUUGCGGACGAUGUGGUGCUAGUCGAUGAUAGUCAGACGGGGGUCAACAGGAAGUUGGGAGUUAUGGAGACAAACCUUGGAAUUGAAAGGUUUUAGACUUAGUAGGACUAAAACCGAGUACAUGAGGUGCGCUUUCAGUACUACUAGGCACGAGGAGGUGGAAGAUGUUAGCCUUAAUGGGUAGGUGGUGCCUCAGAAGGACACCUUUCGAUAUUUGGGGUCAAUGUUGCAGAAGGAUGGGGGCAUCGAUGAAGAUGUGAACCAUCGAAUUAAAGCCGGUUAGAUGAUGUGACGCCAAGCUUGUGGCAUUCUUUGUGACAAAAGAGCCACAAAAGCUAAAAGACAAGUUCUAUAGGGCGGUUCGACCCGCAAUGUUGCAUGGCUGAGUGUUGGCGACUAAAAGAUGACAUGUGCAACAAUUAGGUGUGACGGAGAUGCGCAUGUUGAGAUGGAUGUGUGGCCACACAAGGAAGGGCCGAAUCCAGAAUGAUGAUAUACGUGAUAGAGUUGGGAUGGCGCCGAUUGAAGAGAAGCUUGUGCAACAUCGUCUGAGAUGUGCAUAACAGACGGCUAAAGCAUUGCUGAUAAUGUUAAAAGAGGUCGGGGUAGAUCAAAUUUGACAUGAAAAGAGUCCGUAAAGAGAGAUCUGAAGGAUUGGAGCAUCAUCAAAAGACUAGCCAUGGACAAGAGUACGUGAAAGCGUGUUAUCCAUGUGCCAGAACCAUGAGUUGAUCGUAAAAUCUUAUGGGUUUAACCUCUAGCCUACGCCAACUUGUUUGAAGCUAAAGGUUUUGUUGCCCCCCCCCCCGUUGUAAUCUAUUGGCUAGGAGUUAAUUCCAAUUCUUCUACAGAUAUACUUCCUCUGUAAACAAAUACAGUACAAGAUAUUUUAGAGAGUAGUGUAGUUUUUAGGGGAUCUGGUAGAGAGAUGCUCCGAAUGAUGUCAUCUUCAUCUAAAAACAAUGACCAACCACGCCAAACCAGGUUCGACUGGAUUGGGAUGUUGCUGGAUAACCUCAAAUCCCGUACAACAGUGAUUCCUCGUCGCAGGAGAACAAAACAUGGGGCAACACUGGACUUCAAAGGCUUUGAGUUUGCAAUUUGCACAAUAAAGCAAGCACCGGUACCAU